CAUUCCUCAACCUUCAACCACCCCAAGUCUCUUUCCAUUCUCAAGCUUAAUUUCCACUAGCUCUCCCUUCUAUCUUCUGUAUCCUUAUUCUCUUCUCUGGGUGGUUUAUCUGUGAUCAUCAAACACAUGUCUACCUCUGAAUCUGAAGUUUCUUCACCUUCUGUAAGAGUUCAGUUGGUGUCAAAAUGGGUGUCUGACCAACUACUCGGCAAAUUCUCGGAUGUGUCGGAAUUCAGUUUCGACUACCAGCAGAGUGGGUUGUGGUCUCCUCCGGUAAGAAGAAGUGUUUUCUUGAACUCGCCGGAUAAUAUAUGCACUGACAAUGAAAUGCUAGCAAGGCUAAAAAUUGCUAAUAGGAUACGCCGUCCCCGGAGGCACAAGUUUUGUUUCAAAGCGUUUUGGUGUCUCGUGAAGUGAACGUCUGCGUUGCGGUGGUGCCAAAGCAGUUGUCUCGCCGGAGGUGGUUUACGGUUUACCUCAUGUUAGCAGUAGGACAAAAAUACCCUUGAACUUUGCAAGUAAUUAUCAAAUGUCACAUGUAUCAAAUGAAAAAUUAUAUACAAAAAAAGCAGAUUCCCAUGGAUCCUUUGUUGU
This is a non-coding RNA of Nelumbo nucifera (sacred lotus), 594 nucleotides long. NCBI's taxonomy places the organism in Eukaryota, Viridiplantae, Streptophyta, Magnoliopsida, Proteales, Nelumbonaceae. The record is from RefSeq and is a predicted model, not a curated record.